This 153-nucleotide microRNA precursor is filed under the name Lotus japonicus. RNAcentral describes it as "miR167a stem-loop (lja-MIR167a)". Its record names the gene lja-MIR167a. The stretch from base 17 to 138 matches the Rfam family "MIR167 microRNA precursor family". The record is from miRBase by way of RNAcentral. Lineage: Eukaryota; Viridiplantae; Streptophyta; Magnoliopsida; Fabales; Fabaceae.
ACAAAGAGUUGAGUUCACAAGGGAAAAAGUGAAGCUGCCAGCAUGAUCUAGCUUUGGUUAGAGAAAGAGGUAGAGUGCUAAUGAAUUAACUGCUAACCCUGACUAGGUCAUGCUGCGACAGCCUCACUCCUUCCUAUUUGGGGACCCAGUUGU